Molecule: ribosomal RNA, 761 nt
Filed under: uncultured archaeon
Lineage: Archaea
Description: bacterial SSU rRNA
Rfam family: Archaeal small subunit ribosomal RNA
Source: RNAcentral
UUCCGGUUGAUCCCGCCGGAAGCUACUGCUAUCGGGAUUCGAUUAAGCCAUGCGAGUCGAGAGGGUUCGGCCCUCGGCUGACUGCUCAGUAACACGUGGAUAACUUGCCCUCAGGUAGGGGAUAAUCUCGGGAAACUGAGGAUAAUACCCUAUAGACAUCCUUUGCUGGAACGCUUGGAUGUUCAAAGGUAACGCCUGAGGAUAGGUCUGCGGCCUAUCAGGUUGUAGUGGGUGUAAUGGACCCACUAGCCCGCGACGGGUACGGGCCUUGAAAGAGGUAGCCCGGAGAUGGACUCUGAGACACGAGUCCAGGCCCUACGGGGCGCAGCAGGCGCGAAAACUUCGCAAUGCGGGAAACCGUGACGAGGGAAUCCCGAGUGCUCAUACAAUGUAUGGGCUUUUCUUAUGUGUAAAUAGCAUGAGGAAUAAGGGCUGGGUAAGACCGGUGCCAGCCGCCGCGGUAAUACCGGCAGCUCUAGUGGUAGCCACUUUUAUUGGGCCUAAAGCGUCCGUAGCCGGUCAGGUAAAUCCUUGGGUAAAUCGUACAGCUUAACUGUGCGGCUUCCGGGGAGACUGCCUGACUUGGGACCGGGAGAGGUUGGAGGUACUCCUGGGGUAGGGGUGAAAUCCUGUAAUCCUAGGUGGACCACCGGUGGCGAAGGCGUCCAACCAGAACGGCUCCGACGGUGAGGGACGAAGGCUAGGGGCGCAAACCGGAUUAGAUACCCGGGUAGUCUUAGCUGUAAACGCUGCAGACUUGG